GACGAACGCUGGCGGCGUGCUUAACACAUGCAAGUCGAACGGAAAGGCCCUGCUUUUGUGGGGUGCUCGAGUGGCGAACGGGUGAGUAACACGUGAGUAACCUGCCCUUGACUUUGGGAUAACUUCAGGAAACUGGGGCUAACACCGGAUAGGAGCUCCUGCUGCAUGGUGGGGGUUGGAAAGUUUCGGCGGUUGGGGAUGGACUCGCGGCUUAUCAGCUUGUUGGUGGGGUAGUGGCUUACCAAGGCUUUGACGGGUAGCCGGCCUGAGAGGGUGACCGGCCACAUUGGGACUGAGGUACGGCCCAGACUCCUACGGGGGGCAGCAGUGGGGAAUAUUGCACAAUGGGCGGAAGCCUGAUGCAGCAACGCCGCGUGCGGGAUGACGGCCUUCGGGUUGUAAACCGCUUUCGCCUGUGACGAAGCGUGAGUGACGGUAAUGGGUAAAGAAGCACCGGCUAACUACGUG
Molecule: ribosomal RNA, 468 nt
Filed under: uncultured bacterium
Lineage: Bacteria
Description: partial 16S ribosomal RNA
Rfam family: Bacterial small subunit ribosomal RNA
Source: RNAcentral